RNAcentral lists this ribosomal RNA (459 nucleotides) under uncultured bacterium. RNAcentral's name for it is "partial 16S ribosomal RNA". It matches the Rfam family "Bacterial small subunit ribosomal RNA", at positions 338 to 795 of the family's 1533-position model. The record is from RNAcentral.
CCUACGGGGGGCUGCAGUGAGGAAUAUUGGUCAAUGGGCGGGAGCCUGAACCAGCCAAGCCGCGUGAGGGAAGAAGGUACAGCGUAUCGUAAACCUCUUUUGUCAGGGAACAAAGGCGGGGACUAGUCCCCGGAUGAGGGUACCUGAAGAAAAAGCAUCGGCUAACUCCGUGCCCGCAGCCGCGGUAAUACGGAGGAUGCGAGCGUUAUCCGGAUUUAUUUGGGUUAAAGGGUGCGCAGGCGGCCUGUUAAGUCAGCGGUAAAAGUCCGGGGCUCAACCCCGGCGAGCCGUUGACACUGGCGGUCUGGAGUUGGAGAGAAGUACGUGGAAUGCGCGGUGUAGCGGUGAAAUGCUUAGAUAUCGCGCAGAACCCCGAUUGCGAAGGCAGCAUACCGGCUCCACACUGACGCUGAGGCACGAAAGCGUGGGGAUCGAACAGGAUUAGAUACCCGGGUAGUC